AUAGGUGCAUACCCUACUCCUACAGUGAACCUAAUGCAGCCAAUCUACACUGCAUGGACCCAUAUGGCUAGAGACCAUGUAUGUGUGCAGUCAAACUACAAUAACCUCACUGUGAGCAGCCGAAGCACCGCAGGUCAAAGGACCAGUCACACUACUGCAACAUCAAGCAAAUCACUGACGAGUGGAUAGACAUCCAAGUGACUUCUUGUCUUGGUCACGCUCAGUACCCUUGUUCUUUAACAAGCACCUGCACUAUCACUUCAGUGUCCCUACACUGUGGACUCAAGUCUCGUCCAUCCAGAAGGAAAGUGAUCUGUGCACUGAUCGGAUCG
RNAcentral lists this long non-coding RNA (332 nucleotides) under Phoenix dactylifera (date palm). Its description in RNAcentral is "long non-coding RNA (PDAC_LNC022024)". Lineage: Eukaryota; Viridiplantae; Streptophyta; Magnoliopsida; Arecales; Arecaceae. The record is from RNAcentral.